AUAUAUAGUGUGUGUUGUUUAAAUAUUAUCGAUUCAGCAAUGAUUAUAAAUAAUCCAUAGCUCUCUGCCUGAGUUUGGAGCUCCCUGUUUUUACGAGGUAAUUAAAACUCUGUAUAAAAUUUUGAUGUUGGUCGGUUUUUCCAGCUUGACAGGGGACAAUAAUUUCAUAAUUAAAUAUUCUUUAGACUGUGACUUUGAGACUACAACUACUGUAUAUGGCUGAGAAGCAUAUCUAGUUACCAAGCCUUUCAGUGUUUAAAAAGCUACAGUGUUUUGAAGCGUUUUAAACCUGGCUCCAUACUGACACCUGUUGCCCACUUAAAUAUUUUACCUUAAUAUAUACUGUAUAUUUAAUACGUCAGAACAGCUUCAAUGUGUAUUGUAUUUUGUUAUAUAUUAUAUAAUGUUAAGCACCCCCACAAUUGAUAUGUUUGCAACCUUAAAAUUCUAGGCUCCUUUAUGUUCAUGUAUGAAAGUUAUUUACAUAUCAUUCAAUACACAGCAAUAGUUUUACUCCAAGAUGUUGCUUAAAAAAUAUAAAGUUGCAUCUGGUUUGACACUAUUGAGGGAAUAAUUCACUUUGUGACUCUAUCAUUUAACUUGAGGCCUUUUGUUUUUGAAUCAUUGGGUAAAGAGCAAUUGAGUGAUCACCAUGCUGCACAGGGCAGUGGACACUUGUGCCUUGUAAACCCCAGGAAAGCUUUCCAGUUGGUAAUAAGCUGUUGGUAUUGUACUUGUUCUUGUAAAGCAGAACAUCUCUGUACCAUUUUUCUGCACCUCAUAAAAAGCAGACAAGACCUUGUGCAAGCUGUGCUGUGUGUGUGGGAACACUGACAACUACUGCAAAUAAUAUUGAGUAGUGGGGGGAACAUUUUGAGGAGCUCCACAGCUCAGUGGACAUUCCCGAACUCCAGGAGGCCAGAAAUCUAUGGUGUGAAGGGGGCUUACUAUGAUGGUUAGAAACUUUUGGUAUUAGCAAGACAUCAUAAGUAAAUUUAAUUUUGCACAGAGGCAUAGGACAGUGUUUCGGUUGUGAUUAAUAUCUUUAAUGUUGCAAAGAAUUUGAGUGCCUUUGGACUAGAAAACUGGGAUACUAGUCUUUUUUUUUUUUUUUUUUUUUAAAGAAAAGAAAAAAAGUAGGUGUGCACUAAUUAUUGGGAAAGCACACUCCUCAGCCUCGAGGGAAAACUCUAUGCCUAGAUGCUGGUCAGGAGACUCUGCUCGAUAGUUGAACCUAGGAUUCAGGAGGAACAAUGUGGGUUCCGUCCAGUCUACAUGUGUCAUGUGGACUUGGAGAAGAAUUGUUAUGCCAGAUUAUUUUAUGUAAAUAGUUAAUAUUGGAUUAGAUUAAAUUGGAGAAUAGUUGCACUGUGUAAUCAAGUAUUUUUACUAGAGCUUAAACAACUAAUCGAUAAAAAUCGGUAAUAAUCGUUUAUGAAAAUCGUUGUCAACGAAUCUCAUUAUCGAUUAGUCGGUCUGCGCGCGCACGAGGGAGAUUUACUCACUGCGUUACUUCUGUUCCGAAAACACGCUUCGGAGAGCAAAUACUAAAUUUCUGUCCCAAAUGAAGUACUGUACACUUACACGAUGCACUGUGUACUCUACUGUCUAGUGUGUGGAUUUUAGAAAGGUAAUAUCAUCUCAACUGGAACACUAGCGGGGUUUUUUUACUAACCGGAAGUAUAUGCCGCUUCCUACGUGACGUCAUAUCACGUAAUGCGACGGUGCUAGCUUUAGCCUAAUACCCAGAAUCACCGUACAUGACUCUCUUUUCUCUCAAUGACCAUCAGACGGAGGAGAAAUCGUCAAGGGACUGAGGAACGAAAUCUGCGAGCUCCAAGUCCUCUAAGGCAGAGGAGUAUUUUAUAUUAAACACCGCGGAGAAGAUUUAUAAACUUUAUAAAGCGGAGAUUGUGUAGCACGAACACGACAGUGGUGCUGUCGCGAGUUGCUUUAAAGGUUUAGUUUAAUUUAAGUUUAUUGACAUUAUAUGCUGUAUCAGUGUAACUUAUGUUCUUUAUUAUAACGGAAGUGAUGUGUUAGUAAUGAGGCCGCGUUGCUCCUCACGCGCGGUGUAGAGGCGCUGAUACUGAGUGCAGUUUCUGAUACUCAGUCCUCGGGGAAAUGCUGUUACAGAAUGCAAUUUAUUUACAGACAUUUAGUUUUCUUCAUAUUUUUUUAUUUGAAUUUUUUUGAGUUAUUUUGCCAUAUUUUUCUCAUCUUUGUCCACUUAAAUUUUUUCACAAGUGUGCACUGGAUUUAUGGAUGUUAGUCACCUUGCACCAAACACCAAACUUUGGGACAAGUACUUUCACAUCCCACUGCCAUAUUUUCUAUGUUAAAGUUGCUUUCCGUCACCCAUCUGUCAACACACCCCUUUCAGGGUCACGGGGAACCUGGAGCCUAUCCCAGGGAGCAUGGGGCACAAGGCGGGGUACACCCUGGACGGAGUGCCAAUCCAUCGCAGGACACAAUCACACACACAUUCACACUCACACACCCAUUCAUACACUACGGACACUUUGGACAUGCCAAUCAGCCUACCAUGCAUGCCUUUGGACUGGGGGGAACACGGGGAGAACAUGCAAACUCCGCACACAGGGUAGCGGCAGGAGUUGAACCCCCAAACCUGGAGGUGUGAGGCGAACAUCCAAUUAUAAAUAUUAACAAACAUUUUGUUUUACCCUAAAUUUCUUUUGCUGAUUAACCUACUUCACAAUAUAUAGUAAAUUAUACCUCAAACAGGUGAAUAGGGGUGAAGUGAAUGUGUUUAGUUUCCUUUGGAUCUCAGCAUUCUUCACAUUCCCUCUACUGGAUCAUAUUUAAAGAAUGAUUCCCAUUACAUUCAACCCUAUCACCCCCCCCCCCCCCCAAAAAAAAAAAAAAAAAAAACAAAACUUUCUUGCCCCAGCUGCUUCAACAUAAGAGUAGUAAGCCCUUACCCUAGAGACUUUGUUUAAACUUUGCUUCAUAGAUCUCCAAGAUUCCAGUCCUGAAAAGAGGUCAUUGUGAUUGAUAGUUCAAGCGGAUGAAGCCAAUUGUAAAUAAAAAGAAAGCAGUUGACUUGGACAUUCAGAAAAUCAAUGGACUAAGUUAUAAGAAUGUAGCAAAAUGGUCAGAAAAAAUAGGAAAAAUCUGUUUCUGAUGGUAUCUCCAAAAUAAUCUCACACGUGUAGGUGAUGGUGAAUGCUUUUUAUUGUUUUAUUCAUUUAUUGAUUUAUUUAAGCUUAUUUGUAUUUUUUAUUUAAUUGAUGCUUUAAAUUACUUUUUAUUGUAUCUAAUGUGUUUGGUACUGUAAGUAAAGAAGACUUGACUUAAAAUCUAAAUUCUCUAGAAUUAAAACCAUCAAAGCCA
Ictalurus punctatus (channel catfish) is the source of this 3354-nucleotide long non-coding RNA. RefSeq lists it as uncharacterized. NCBI's taxonomy places the organism in Eukaryota, Metazoa, Chordata, Actinopteri, Siluriformes, Ictaluridae. The record is from RefSeq and is a predicted model, not a curated record. The transcript is spliced from 2 exons.